Molecule: ribosomal RNA, 497 nt
Filed under: uncultured bacterium
Lineage: Bacteria
Description: partial 16S ribosomal RNA
Rfam family: Bacterial small subunit ribosomal RNA
Source: RNAcentral
GAUGAACGCUGGCGGCGUGCCUAAUACAUGCAAGUCGAGCGAACGGACGAGAAGCUUGCUCCUCUGAUGUUAGCGGCGGACGGGUGAGUAACACGUGGAUAACCUACCUAUAAGACUGGGAUAACUUCGGGAAACCGGCGCUAAUACCGGAUAAUAUUUUGAACCGCAUGGUUCAAAAGUGAAAGACGGUCUUGCUGUCACUUAUAGCUGGAUCCGCGCUGCAUUAGCUAGUUGGUAAGGUAACGGCUUACCAAGGCAACGAUGCAUAGCCGACCUGAGAGGGUGAUCGGCCACACUGGAACUGAGACACGGCCCCGACUCCGACGGGAGGCAGCAGUAGGGAAUCUUACGCAAGGGGCGAAAGCCUGACGGAGCAACGCCGCGUGAAUGAUGAAGGUCUUCGGAUCGGAAAACUCUGUUAGUAGGGAAGAACAUAUGUGUAAGUAACUGUGCACAUCUUGACGGUACCUAAUCAGAAAGCCACGGCUAACUACGUG